RNAcentral lists this ribosomal RNA (1401 nucleotides) under Staphylococcus saprophyticus. Its description in RNAcentral is "bacterial SSU rRNA". It matches the Rfam family "Bacterial small subunit ribosomal RNA". Lineage: Bacteria; Bacillati; Bacillota; Bacilli; Caryophanales; Staphylococcaceae. The record is from RNAcentral.
GGAGCUUGCUCCUUUGACGUUAGCGGCGGACGGGUGAGUAACACGUGGGUAACCUACCUAUAAGACUGGGAUAACUUCGGGAAACCGGAGCUAAUACCGGAUAACAUUUGGAACCGCAUGGUUCUAAAGUGAAAGAUGGUUUUGCUAUCACUUAUAGAUGGACCCGCGCCGUAUUAGCUAGUUGGUAAGGUAACGGCUUACCAAGGCGACGAUACGUAGCCGACCUGAGAGGGUGAUCGGCCACACUGGAACUGAGACACGGUCCAGACUCCUACGGGAGGCAGCAGUAGGGAAUCUUCCGCAAUGGGCGAAAGCCUGACGGAGCAACGCCGCGUGAGUGAUGAAGGGUUUCGGCUCGUAAAACUCUGUUAUUAGGGAAGAACAAAUGUGUAAGUAACUGUGCACGUCUUGACGGUACCUAAUCAGAAAGCCACGGCUAACUACGUGCCAGCAGCCGCGGUAAUACGUAGGUGGCAAGCGUUAUCCGGAAUUAUUGGGCGUAAAGCGCGCGUAGGCGGUUUCUUAAGUCUGAUGUGAAAGCCCACGGCUCAACCGUGGAGGGUCAUUGGAAACUGGGAAACUUGAGUGCAGAAGAGGAAAGUGGAAUUCCAUGUGUAGCGGUGAAAUGCGCAGAGAUAUGGAGGAACACCAGUGGCGAAGGCGACUUUCUGGUCUGUAACUGACGCUGAUGUGCGAAAGCGUGGGGAUCAAACAGGAUUAGAUACCCUGGUAGUCCACGCCGUAAACGAUGAGUGCUAAGUGUUAGGGGGUUUCCGCCCCUUAGUGCUGCAGCUAACGCAUUAAGCACUCCGCCUGGGGAGUACGACCGCAAGGUUGAAACUCAAAGGAAUUGACGGGGACCCGCACAAGCGGUGGAGCAUGUGGUUUAAUUCGAAGCAACGCGAAGAACCUUACCAAAUCUUGACAUCCUUUGAAAACUCUAGAGAUAGAGCCUUCCCCUUCGGGGGACAAAGUGACAGGUGGUGCAUGGUUGUCGUCAGCUCGUGUCGUGAGAUGUUGGGUUAAGUCCCGCAACGAGCGCAACCCUUAAGCUUAGUUGCCAUCAUUAAGUUGGGCACUCUAGGUUGACUGCCGGUGACAAACCGGAGGAAGGUGGGGAUGACGUCAAAUCAUCAUGCCCCUUAUGAUUUGGGCUACACACGUGCUACAAUGGACAAUACAAAGGGCAGCUAAACCGCGAGGUCAUGCAAAUCCCAUAAAGUUGUUCUCAGUUCGGAUUGUAGUCUGCAACUCGACUACAUGAAGCUGGAAUCGCUAGUAAUCGUAGAUCAGCAUGCUACGGUGAAUACGUUCCCGGGUCUUGUACACACCGCCCGUCACACCACGAGAGUUUGUAACACCCGAAGCCGGUGGAGUAACCAUUUAUGGAGCUAGCCGUCG